GACAGGGCCUGUUAAUCUUAGUCGACUAAUUCUGUUAUUUGUUACCAACUUUAACCCGUUGGCAGAGGGCCUGUUAUUCUUUGGAUGCUAGCUCCAGGGUGUCGACUGGCCUCUAUUUCUAGAGGUGCUCAUAGCUAUCUGAGAGUUCAUAAAUCAUAUUCUUUUUCUUUCAUAAAUCAUAAUCAUCAUAAAUAGGUUGGAAAAUGAUAAAUGGCAU
RNAcentral lists this long non-coding RNA (217 nucleotides) under Phoenix dactylifera (date palm). Its description in RNAcentral is "long non-coding RNA (PDAC_LNC015500)". The record is from RNAcentral. Lineage: Eukaryota; Viridiplantae; Streptophyta; Magnoliopsida; Arecales; Arecaceae.